GAUGAACGCUGGCGGCGUGCCUAAUACAUGCAAGUCGAGCGAACAGACGAGGAGCUUGCUCCUUUGACGUUAGCGGCGGACGGGUGAGUAACACGUGGGUAACCUACCUAUAAGACUGGGAUAACUUCGGGAAACCGGAGCUAAUACCGGAUAAUAUUUCGAACCGCAUGGUUCGAUAGUGAAAGAUGGCUUUGCUAUCACUUAUAGAUGGACCUGCGCCGUAUUAGUUAGUUGGUAAGGUAACGGCUUACCAAGGCAACGAUACGUAGCCGACCUGAGAGGGUGAUCGGCCACACUGGAACUGAGACACGGUCCAGACUCCUACGGGAGGCAGCAGUAGGGAAUCUUCCGCAAUGGGCGAAAGCCUGACGGAGCAACGCCGCGUGAGUGAUGAAGGUCUUCGGAUCGUAAAACUCUGUUAUUAGGGAAGAACAAACGUGUAAGUAACUGUGCACGUCUUGACGGUACCUAAUCAGAAAGCCACGGCUAACUACGUG
RNAcentral lists this ribosomal RNA (497 nucleotides) under uncultured bacterium. Its description in RNAcentral is "partial 16S ribosomal RNA". It matches the Rfam family "Bacterial small subunit ribosomal RNA", at positions 28 to 507 of the family's 1533-position model. The record is from RNAcentral.